Molecule: long non-coding RNA, 245 nt
Filed under: Durio zibethinus
Lineage: Eukaryota; Viridiplantae; Streptophyta; Magnoliopsida; Malvales; Malvaceae
Description: long non-coding RNA (DZIB_LNC001668)
Source: RNAcentral
UGUUGCAAAACUUGUAUAUGCACUGAAUCAAGCUCAUAAUUGACAAACAUGUACUAUCAAAUAAAUACUAUAAUUAAUAAAUCUAUAUAACAUUUACAUAACAUAUCAAUCAAAAUAAUCAGAAAGUUAUAAUUCUUAAAUUACUAUUCUCCCAAUUGAUUUAUCUCUAGAAUAUCAAGAUCCACAUAAAAUUUGAUCACAGAAUUAUAUGCCAAGUAAAUUUUUCUUGCAUACAUAAAUGAAAC